Molecule: small nuclear RNA, 107 nt
Organism: Loxodonta africana (African savanna elephant)
Lineage: Eukaryota; Metazoa; Chordata; Mammalia; Proboscidea; Elephantidae
Source: Ensembl
GUGCUCGCUUUGGCAGCACGUAUACUAAAACUGGAAUGAUGCAGAGCAGAUUAGCAUGGCCCCUGUGCAAGGAUGACCGGCAAAUUCAUGAAGCGUUCCAUAUUAAA